RNAcentral lists this ribosomal RNA (443 nucleotides) under uncultured bacterium. Its description in RNAcentral is "SSU rRNA". It matches the Rfam family "Bacterial small subunit ribosomal RNA", at positions 26 to 518 of the family's 1533-position model. The record is from RNAcentral.
AGAACGAACGCUGGCGGCAGGCCUAAUACAUGCAAGUCGAACGCACUCUUCGGAGUGAGUGGCAGACGGGUGAGUAACGCGUGGGAACCUUCCCAAUGGUACGGAAUAACUCCGGGAAACCGGUGCUAAUACCGCAUAAGCCCCUCGGGGGAAAGAUUUAUCGCCAUUGGAUGGGCCCGCGUCGGAUUAGCUAGUUGGUAAGGUAAUGGCUUACCAAGGCUACGAUCCGUAGCUGGUCUGAGAGGAUGAUCAGCCACACUGGGACUGAGACACGGCCCAGACUCCUACGGGAGGCAGCAGUAGGGAAUCUUGGACAAUGGGCGAAAGCCUGAUCCAGCCAUGCCGCGUGAGUGAAGAAGGCCUUAGGGUUGUAAAGCUCUUUUGGCGGGACGAUAAUGACGGUACCGCAGAAUAAGCCCGGCUAACUUCGUGCCAGCAGCCGC